GGGUUAGGGUUCAAGCGGGGUGCCGGGUUUCGCAGCUUGUGGAUGGGCUGAAAGAGCACGGGCUCACGCUGCAGAAUUUCGCGUCGAUUCGGGAGCAGCAAGUCGGCGGGAUCGUGCAGGUUGGUGCACACGGCACUGGCGCAAGCUUGCCUCCCAUUGAUGAGCAGAUUGUUAGCAUGAAACUGGUGACCCCUGCUAAGGGAGUUAUAGAGGUUUCGAAAGAAAGAGAUCCUGAGCUGUUUUACCUAGCUCGUUGUGGUCUAGGUGGCCUUGGUGUUGUUGCAGAAGUAACCAUUCAAUGUGUUGAUAGACAUGAGCUUGUUGAGCACACAUUCGC
This 337-nucleotide unclassified non-coding RNA is filed under the name Hevea brasiliensis (rubber tree). Lineage: Eukaryota; Viridiplantae; Streptophyta; Magnoliopsida; Malpighiales; Euphorbiaceae. The record is from RNAcentral.